Long non-coding RNA from Leptidea sinapis, 3122 nucleotides. RefSeq lists it as uncharacterized. The record is from RefSeq and is a predicted model, not a curated record. The transcript is spliced from 5 exons. NCBI's taxonomy places the organism in Eukaryota, Metazoa, Arthropoda, Insecta, Lepidoptera, Pieridae.
UUGAAGUCCACUAGUCAAGACACAGGGCUACGUCCACCGUCCACUGGCUACCAUACUCGAAGUAUCUCGGUCUGCUAUUGAAACUUACAAACCUAACGCUGUUAAAUGUAUUUGUUUGUAAAUAGACACGUGUGUAUUCUAAGGAACGGUGUGUGUUUUGUUCUAUGAUAAAUGUGUUAUUGAUAGUUUACAUUUAGAAUUAAGUAAAAUUACCGGAAACACCUGUAUGUAGCUUGAGCAGUGGGAUUGUGCAGGAUGGGGGUGGGGGUGGGGUUUGGCGCGGGCAAGCGGCCUCCCUCACACACGGCCUACUACGUGGCGCUGGCUGGAAUCCUGUCCCUGCUUCUGCUGCUCAUCUCCUACUGCCUCUGCUUCUGCGUCAAACGCGUCAAACAGAUAUCUCAGCAAGGACUCCCUCCGCCGGUACAGUCAGUACGUCCUCCUCCUCCCGAGACAGUACCUUACCCGGUGCAGCCUGCGGUGCGCUCCAGUGCGUCGGCGAUGGCUCGUCUGUGUCAGUCGCCGCGCUCGCCACGCAGCUUCGUGCUCGCUCACGACUCAGCUCAUGCCAACCGCUCCGUGUCGCUCACUCCUGCCCAUACGGACACGGUGCACCCGUCGCGACCUGCGCGAUCCGGCACGCUGCCUCCACCCACGGUCAUCAACCACGCGCCCCCUCGAGCCCCCACAAGGCCGCCCAGAGGCAAUGGACUCAAGUCGCCGAGGAACCGGAACCAGGAAGAGAGUAUAGAACUGUGCGAGAGGAGAGUGGUGCCGCAGGUGGUAGUGGGCGUCGCUGAGUGACUGUCGCGCCGGUUAUCAUAAUAUGUAUUCAAAUAAAAUUUGAAAACAAAAUUUUAUGAACGAUGCCGGACUCGAACCCACGACUUCUCAGUUUCCGUGCUCUUCAAACUGAGCUACAAUUCUGACUUAAUAUAGUAGUCUUAUUGACUUGAGAUGUAAAUCAAUUUCCUAAAAUGCAAAUACUGGAGUUAAGCGGGUUAUCAAAUGUAAAGUAGAUCCUAUAGAUAAAGCCACAACCUGAGAGUUGAACAAAGCAUACAAGAUUUUAUGACGAUACGUCACUCGAACGAUUAGCUCAGUUGGCAUAGCACUGGCACGGAACGCCAGAGGUCGUGGGUUCGAGUCCCGCAUCGAUCAUAAGAUUUCGUUUUCAAACUUUAUUUGUGUAUUAAUCCUAGAAGUGAGGGUUUUAAAAACAUAACAAAUUGUUUAUAAUAUUAUGUAUUAUACUGCUUAAAGUAUGUUUGAAAGACUGUAAUAAUUGAUGUGCCAAAUAUUGCUUACGUAGUACUUAGUACUUACCCUUUAGAUCAUUUAUACGUUUAGAUAAACUAUGACAGCUGUGAAAACGUAGAAAAAAUUUGCCUUAGAACUAACCUCUAUUAAGAGCAAUUCACGCACACUAACACAAAGUGUCAUACAAAUCGCGAGUGUAAGACGUAGCUUGUCACGCACACUAAACUAGUAUACAUGGCCUGUUUUUAUCGGUUGUCUAACAGCAAGAGACUCUAUCUAGACGUAUAAAUUAUGUAAGACUUAUACUAUCUCUACUCUGUGGUAAAGGUGAGCAUUUGACAGCUAUGUGCAGCAACAAAAACACAUCUAAGCAUGAAAUAAGAUAAAAUAUAUCUUAGACCGACAAAUGCCGACCACUGAGAUGAUAUCGGUAUAUGUUUCACUCAUAUAGUUCCGUUAUUUUAUUUCCAAUCCUCUUUAUUGAUGAUACAAUCCCUGGUGCUGGUCUGUAGACUGUAGUCUUCGCGUGAACUGACGUCUAAUUCAAUGACCGCAAAACAUAAUUUAAAAGAUGAAAUCUAUUUUUAAUAAAAAUCUUACUUCACGAAAAUAAUUAAAGUUCAUUGUCGUAUGAGAGGUAUCUUCCAAAAAUUUAAAUGGAUUUCCUGCGGCAUAAAACCUCUUUUUUGUUAAAAAAAAACAAAAACUGUAUUAUACGGUUAAAUUGAAAAUGCUCAAAAAAAGUCACUUUACGAGCAAGUAUGUUGAAAUAGUUAUUUAAGAUACUGUUAUGUGUUUUAAUACCUAUCUAUCAACAGGUGCAUACAAGACUUUAUCUGCUGGGUGCAGAUAUCUUGAAUAUGAAUCCUUUUUAAAAGAUUCUAAAACAGUUAGCUUACUGCUAACAUUAAAAAAGCCAGUCCUAGUAACCAUAAUAUCAUACAAAGGAGUGUUAUUAUGAAAACGGAUGAUAUAAUGUGGUACUGAAUUUCAUUACAACACUCGUUUGUAUGAUGUAAUGGUUAUUAAGACAUUGAGUGUUUUAAUGUUGGCAAUAACCUAACUGGUUUAGAAUCUUUAAUAGAGGAUUUAAAGCAUGAGUGUACUUAUAAGUGCGUAUGAAACUCGUGAGCAACUUACUCACUAGACACUCGGCUGAUUUACGAUUACUGCAACCCACAGCCUCGUGUAUACUAAGCAACUUAGCUCAAUUGUAUAAUAAUAACUAAUAUUUAACCAAUAAAUGAUAGGAGUUCUGGUUUGAACAAGCUGACACCAGUCAGUAGCACACUAGGGCAGAAAUGAUACUCACGAGAGUCACACAUUGAUGUUGAGUUGUCUCAGUUUGAUUCAUGAUCAACAUCAAGAAUUUACAGGACUGUAUAUCCUGGAUCAAGGACAUCUAUAGUGGAUCUUCAUCCCGAUCAAGCUUGAUGGAUGUAUAAUAUAUUUGAUUUUUCUUCUACAAUUUGUACAUGUUCAUGUCUCUUUAGUUUAAUAAUGAUGGUUCAGCAGGGAUGUAUUGUUGAAUAGUAAAAUAAGUAACAAUGUACAAAAGGACUAUAUUUAUGAGGUUAAAGAGUUGUUAAAAGUGGCUUAUCGUUAUUAUUAAGAUAUAUAUCACAUUACUUUCAUCACAUAAUAUACUAUGCUACAUAGAGCUACGAUACUAUCUUGUAUUUAUAUUACACACGCGGGCGGGUUACCAGUGAUGUUGGUUGGCUCCGUUGACCCACAAUGGUCAUGUAUGAAGGACCAAAUGUUGAAGAAAUAAAAUUAAGAUAUUAUUUAUAUAUAAGAUAAUUAAUUUAAAAUUGUCAGUAAUGCUGCUAUUAAUAUAAAACGCAUUUUGUAUUAACUGU